This 301-nucleotide ribosomal RNA is filed under the name uncultured bacterium. RNAcentral describes it as "partial 16S ribosomal RNA". It matches the Rfam family "Bacterial small subunit ribosomal RNA", at positions 509 to 807 of the family's 1533-position model. The record is from RNAcentral.
CAGCCGCCGCGGUAAUACGUAGGGCGCGAGCGUUAAUCGGAAUUACUGGGCGUAAAGUGAGCGCAGACGGUUAUUUAAGCAGGAUGUGAAAUCCCCGGGCUUAACCUGGGAACUGCGUUCUGAACUGGGUAGCUAGAGUGUGUCAGAGGGGGGUAGAAUUCCACGUGUAGCAGUGAAAUGCGUAGAGAUGUGGAGGAAUACCGAUGGCGAAGGCAGCCCCCUGGGAUAACACUGACGUUCAUGCUCGAAAGCGUGGGUAGCAAACAGGAUUAGAGACCCGCGUAGUCCCUGUCUCUUAUAC